AUCCUUGUGUAGAAGGAGCCUAAACACCCGCCUUCUUGGUAACACCUGUGCCCGCAGCCCCUUCCUCUAACCUGCUUUUCUGCUUCUGUAAAAUUCCGCUUC
Long non-coding RNA from Sapajus apella (tufted capuchin), 102 nucleotides. RefSeq lists it as uncharacterized. NCBI's taxonomy places the organism in Eukaryota, Metazoa, Chordata, Mammalia, Primates, Cebidae. The transcript has 3 exons. The record is from RefSeq and is a predicted model, not a curated record.